This 239-nucleotide ribosomal RNA is filed under the name uncultured bacterium. RNAcentral describes it as "partial 16S ribosomal RNA". It matches the Rfam family "Bacterial small subunit ribosomal RNA", at positions 524 to 762 of the family's 1533-position model. The record is from RNAcentral.
UACGAAGGGGGCUAGCGUUGUUCGGAAUCACUGGGCGUAAAGCGCACGUAGGCGGAUCUUUAAGUCAGAGGUGAAAUCCCAAGGCUCAACCUUGGAACUGCCUUUGAUACUGGGGAUCUUGAGUCCGGGAGAGGUGAGUGGAACUGCGAGUGUAGAGGUGAAAUUCGUAGAUAUUCGCAAGAACACCAGUGGCGAAGGCGGCUCACUGGCCCGGUACUGACGCUGAGGUGCGAAAGCGU